Small nuclear RNA from Oryctolagus cuniculus (rabbit), 72 nucleotides. NCBI's taxonomy places the organism in Eukaryota, Metazoa, Chordata, Mammalia, Lagomorpha, Leporidae. The record is from Ensembl.
UCAAUACAGAGAAGAUUAGCAUGGCCCCUGCACAAGGAUGACACGCAAAUUCGUGAAGCAUUCCAUAUUUUU